UAACACGUAUCCAACCUGCCGACUUACUCGGGGGAUAGCCUUUCGAAAGAAAGAUUAAUACCCGAUGGUAUAAAGAGUUCGCAUGUUCUCUUUAUUAAAGAAUUUCGGUAAGCGAUGGGGAUGCGUUCCAUUAGAUUGUUGGCGGGUAACGGCCCACCAAGUCUACGAUGGAUAGGGGUUCUGAGAGGAAGGUCCCCCACAUUGGGAACUGAGACACGGUCCAAACUCCUACGGGAGGCAGCAGUGAGGAAUAUUGGUCAAUGGACGAGAGUCUGAACCAGCCAAGUAGCGUGAAGGAUGACUGCCCUAUGGGUUGUAAACUUCUUUUAUAAGGGAAUAAAGUGAGGGACGUGUCCCUUUUUGUAUGUACCUUAUGAAUAAGGAUCGGCUAACUCCGUGCCAGCAGCAGC
RNAcentral lists this ribosomal RNA (410 nucleotides) under uncultured bacterium. RNAcentral's name for it is "bacterial SSU rRNA". It matches the Rfam family "Bacterial small subunit ribosomal RNA", at positions 111 to 518 of the family's 1533-position model. The record is from RNAcentral.